ACUCCUACGGGAGGCAGCAGUGGGGAAUAUUGCACAAUGGGCGCAAGCCUGAUGCAGCCAUGCCGCGUGUAUGAAGAAGGCCUUCGGGUUGUAAAGUACUUUCAGCAGUGAGGAAGGUGGGUAUGUUAAUAGCAUAUUCAUUUGACGUUUAGCUGCAGAAGAAGCACCGGCUAACUCCGUGCCAGCAGCCGCGGUAAUACGGAGGGUGCGAGCGUUAAUCGGAAUUACUGGGCGUAAAGCGCAUGCAGGUGGUUUGUUAAGUCAGAUGUGAAAGCCCGGGGCUCAACCUCGGAAUUGCAUUUGAAACUGGCAAACUAGAGUACUGUAGAGGGGGGUAGAAUUUCAGGUGUAGCGGUGAAAUGCGUAGAGAUCUGAAGGAAUACCGGUGGCGAAGGCGGCCCCCCUGGACAGAUACUGACACUCAGAUGACGAAAGCGUGGGGAGCAAACAGGAUUACCAUACCCGUGGUAGGCACUGC
RNAcentral lists this ribosomal RNA (478 nucleotides) under uncultured bacterium. Its description in RNAcentral is "bacterial SSU rRNA". It matches the Rfam family "Bacterial small subunit ribosomal RNA", at positions 335 to 800 of the family's 1533-position model. The record is from RNAcentral.